Molecule: ribosomal RNA, 253 nt
Filed under: uncultured bacterium
Lineage: Bacteria
Description: partial 16S ribosomal RNA
Rfam family: Bacterial small subunit ribosomal RNA
Source: RNAcentral
UACGUAGGGACCGAGCGUUGUCCGGAAUCAUUGGGCGUAAAGAGCGUGUAGGCGGCCCCUUAAGUCCUGCGUGAAAUCCUGCGGCUCAACCGCAGACGGUCGUGGGAAACUGGAGGGCUAGAGUGCGGGAGAGGAGAGUGGAAUUCCCGGUGUAGCGGUGAAAUGCGCAGAUAUCGGGAAGAACACCCGUGGCGAAGGCGGCUCUCUGGAACGCAACUGACGCUGAGGCACGAAAGCGUGGGGAGCAAACAGG